This 460-nucleotide ribosomal RNA is filed under the name uncultured bacterium. RNAcentral describes it as "partial 16S ribosomal RNA". It matches the Rfam family "Bacterial small subunit ribosomal RNA", at positions 338 to 795 of the family's 1533-position model. The record is from RNAcentral.
CCUACGGGCGGCAGCAGUGAGGAAUAUUGGUCAAUGGACGAGAGUCUGAACCAGCCAAGUAGCGUGAAGGAUGACUGCCCUAUGGGUUGUAAACUUCUUUUAUAUGGGAAUAAAAUGUUCCACGUGUGGGAUUUUGUAUGUACCAUAUGAAUAAGGAUCGGCUAACUCCGUGCCAGCAGCCGCGGUAAUACGGAGGAUCCGAGCGUUAUCCGGAUUUAUUGGGUUUAAAGGGAGCGUAGGUGGAUUGUUAAGUCAGUUGUGAAAGUUUGCGGCUCAACCGUAAAAUUGCAGUUGAAACUGGCAGUCUUGAGUACAGUAAAGGUGGGCGGAAUUCGUGGUGUAGCGGUGAAAUGCUUAGAUAUCACGAAGAACUCCGAUUGCGAAGGCAGUUCACUGGACUGCAACUGACACUGAGGCUCGAAAGUGUGGGUAUCAAACAGGAUUAGAUACCCGGGUAGUC